Non-coding RNA from Myodes glareolus (Bank vole), 1199 nucleotides. Lineage: Eukaryota; Metazoa; Chordata; Mammalia; Rodentia; Cricetidae. The record is from RefSeq and is a predicted model, not a curated record.
GCUAAGAUGUGAGCAGCACAGAGGUUGGGGGAGUGGCCUGGCACCAGUUUUCUGUUGGAUAGUGUGCUGCCAUCUCCCAAGAGGUAGACUCUGCAGACUAAGCAGCAAUUAGGGUGAAGGACCUCACAUACGCAGAUUCCUAUGAAACCAGUGAGCCUCCAGUGGCUAUUGGUUCCUUUUCUCUUAUUAGGUUCUGGUUGCACCUUUACGUUUAUAAGCUUCUAAAAGUAAGUUGAAUUUCACUCUUCAUCAUGUAAGAAAAUGAGAGCAGAGCGCACUCCACGGAAGUCAUAGCUGAAUAUCAACUCUCUACACAGAAACCACGAAGGACAAGUGCCAGCGCAGGAAGACUGGUCGAUAAGGAGGGCAAACCUGAGCGCUUCAGUUUCACUACUGAAGAGGACAGAAGGGUCUACAGAGGCACAGAGUAAUGAUAUCGCUUAAGAAAUAAUCUCUCCCACCCACGCGGAGCGCCACACUGGGCUUACCGGGGAUGUGUCCAUACAAGGCAGAGAAAAGGGAUGGCCUCACCUGACAGCGGCACUCCCCCACAUCAUUUGUGCCUUGCAGAAAUCAUGGUAGAGUUACGCCAGAAAAUCCACGUAGCUGCGCCAAGAAAAAGGGAUUUAGAAGCUUGGAUUUCAGGAGCGGUAGUGCUUGGUAAGUAAAUGCAGUUAUGGCUCUUGCUGUGGAGUGUUCUGGGAGGGAGUGAUGGGAAAUGAGUGUUUGCUGCCAUAAUAUUCCUUCAGGCUUAUUCUAGACACACCCGGCACGCUGUGUUGACAACAGGUCUCAGGAAAACCUUUAAAAUAUAGUAAAGCCAAUUCUCCAGAGGACGGGCUCAAAAUCAACAUUUGCAGCAUCAAUCAUAAAAAUAGAGGUAUUGAAAUGUAAGAACCUUUCACCAAUUUUACCUGUCUUCUCGUUUUCCCCAUCCACUGCGGUUUUGGUUUCUAAAAUGAACAUUUGGCGUGAAUGCAUUAUUUCUGUUGAAGUCACUUUUUCUACUAAUCAUGUUGUCUUACAUUUUGCUUAUAAUAGCAAAAGCAAUGAUACAAUUUUAGCUUUUUCUCUUUUUAUUAACAUAUCAAUUGUAUGUAAUAAUGAGUAUGACAAUGACUUUUUCCUAUACACAUUCAGUCCACUAUGACUGUCAUCUCUAUUCCCCCUUCCCACUUCUCAGACUCUCAUUUUCUGAA